Molecule: long non-coding RNA, 502 nt
Organism: Scleropages formosus (Asian bonytongue)
Lineage: Eukaryota; Metazoa; Chordata; Actinopteri; Osteoglossiformes; Osteoglossidae
Exons: 3
Source: RefSeq, a predicted model, not a curated record
CGAAUAUUGAUGCAUUAAAGAAUAUUACCGAUGCACUUUUCACGGAAAACAGAACGAAGCUCUUGCCAAACAGCUGCCUUUCGCGCGCUUCGCAACGGCUGUUUCAUUCGUCUCGCGCUUCCCGCCAGAACACCACGAACACGCAAGAAAGUGAACAUUCUCAGUACAUUAAACUGCCUUAAGUAACCGUAGUUUUUUAAAAAAAAGAAAACAUAGUGGAACUUCUCUGCGAAGGUUAGAGGGUACGUGAAAAAUAUAUCCUAAUGUUUUAACGUCUUUUGAAAACAUCACUACGCGAUAAAGGGCUACAAGGACAGAAGAUGUUUCCAGAACAUCAGUAGCAAUGGAACUGUAAGCCUUUGAUUUUGUUCCAGCAGGAUGAAUUUGACCUUACUACAAAGAGCUUUCUCCCCUGGCAUAUGCAAGUAAUUUCAUAUAAAGGGGGAAUGAAAAAGCUACUUCCAUUCAAAACCAAACAACAACAUGUCGACAGUGUUGGCCA